CAGCCGCCGCGGGAAUACGUAGGUGGCAAGCGUUGUCCGGAAUUAUUGGGCGUAAAGGGCUCGCAGGCGGUUUCUUAAGUCCGAUGUGAAAGCCCCCGGCUCAACCGGGGAGGGUCAUUGGAAACUGGGAAACUUGAGUGCAGAAGAGGAGAGUGGAAUUCCACGUGUAGCGGUGAAAUGCGUAGAGAUGUGGAGGAACACCAGUGGCGAAGGCGACUCUCUGGUCUGUAACUGACGCUGAGGAGCGAAAGCGUGGGGAGCGAACAGGAUUAGAGACCCCAGUAGUCCCUGUCUCUUAUAC
Molecule: ribosomal RNA, 301 nt
Filed under: uncultured bacterium
Lineage: Bacteria
Description: partial 16S ribosomal RNA
Rfam family: Bacterial small subunit ribosomal RNA
Source: RNAcentral